Molecule: long non-coding RNA, 2491 nt
Filed under: Homo sapiens (human)
Lineage: Eukaryota; Metazoa; Chordata; Mammalia; Primates; Hominidae
Description: HSALNT0328585
Source: RNAcentral
AUUACUCAAUCUGGAAAGUGCAAAUACACACAUGAACCUGUUAGCCGAUGGGCCCACUCUGCAUGGGUGGUGGACGACGACCCUGGCUCAGGAUUCUGCAGGAAACAAGUGAUGAUAGAGGUGUCAUUAGGAACUUUAUGGAUAUUUAUGCGCCUCCCUUUCAUUGCCAUUUGGAAACUCCUCACGCAGAAGUCAAGGAAACUCCAAUCCCACUUAAACUUCAUUGCGGAGAAACAGAGUUCUGAAAAAAAAGCAGCUACCAUGGACCUCUCUUUUAAACGCAAGUACACCCACACACAUUCGGAUACCAAGGAAGGAAGGAAAGAAAGAAAGGAAAGAAAAGGGAGGGGAGGAAGGAAGAGCAAAGUCCUCUCUAAAAGUCUCAAUUAUAUAUAUAGCCUCUGAUUGUCACCUCUCCUCCGUCCCACCAUUUUUCGUACUUGUAUUGGGUGGCAGGGACACUUUUCAAGAGUUCUGUGUUCGAUUGUUCACUCUGAGUACCUCUCCACCAUCCUCCAGUCGUUGCCCUCAUUGGGAGAGAUGCUUGCUACUCUGCUAGUACCACGCCUUGGUUCCGGUCUUUACUGUUGGCUGGUAGGUCGGGAGGCACCUCUAGCAUGAGACAGUGUCUGGAAGCCAGGAUUUCCCUCAUCUAUAUGCGCCGGUCCCCAGCUCCCUGGUCGCCAGGGUUUCUCUCCAGUUGAAUUCCGUGUUCCUUCAGGUUGAACAGUAGCUUCAGCGGUUUUUCACGCUCAGAAAUGAUGAGGCCCAAUUCCAAUCUUCCCUCCCGCCGGAAGUAAGAAGGGGAAUUCUGAGUUGCUUGUCGCCUGACAGCUUAAAAUAGCAACGAAAACAGCCAGCAUCUUUGCUUAAAAACCCAAGGUUCCCGCCAGUGUUUACCAUACUUCCUCUAGAGUUUAAGAAGUUAAGAACUUCCGAGAUCUUGAAUUUCCUCUUUGCAGCACAGCGAACGGGGUCGGGUAUAAAAAUGCUCCAAGGAGCAAGUAAUUACGAACGUUUAUUGACACUACAAGUGGCCCACAGGGAGCCUUUCGAGUUUAUUGAUGUCUAGGCAAAUCCAGCCUGCAUUAAUGCAUUUCUGUUAGAUUGACUUCUGUUAGACUCACUUUUCUUCUGGCAAAAACUGCCAGAAUAAAACAGCUUCUUAUUUAAGUUAAAAGGGAUCCGGGGCUGAGGGCAGGGGUCGGGUGGGAGAGGGAUGCAUGGUUAGGAUGCUAAAUUCUCAAGGAUAAACUUUGAUUUUUAAACAGUAGACAACUAUAUUUUAGAUUAUAGGUAAAACAUCACUCUCUGUCAGGGAUAGAGUAAUAUGCAUCGUUUCAUUAAACUCAUUAUUUCUUAAGCAAUGGUUAUGGGGCAGGCAAUGUGUGCGGAGAUGGGAACACAAAGAUGAAUAAAACUUAGCAUCUAGUCAGACACAAAUCCUACUCACUCAAAGGGGGCAUCUUUUAAAAAUAAUAAUUUACAGUAUGGCAACAUGAAUCAGAAACAUCAUUUAAAAUAUAUAUGGUAUCUGAGUAAGCUCCUGGGUUGAAGCAGAUGGGGUGUUUAAGCCUUUUGAAGCCCGGAAGAUGAGUUUCCGGGUGAAGGGGACACACAGACUCCUGUUUUCAAAGCUGACAAGGAAGUAAGCCAAGCAGAGGGAGGAUAGAACAUUGCAGGUGGAAAAAGGAGUAUGCGCAACUCCAGAGAGUAAUAAAACUCUGGUGCUUUGGGGCAACUUUGAAGUGGCUCAGUACUGUUAGAAGGGAAAGUGGUAAGGGAGAGUGCUGGUCCAAAAGUUUCGGUGUACUCAUAAUAUUCUAUGGCUCCAGAGUGUGGAACAGUCUUCUGUAAUGAGAAAGCCACAAGAAAAUCUUCAAGAGGAAAACAGAUAUCCAUGGCUGUGGAUCAACUUCUGUGGCUCUGUUCCCCUUGUCUUCUCACACCAGAUUCCAGCCUCUUCAAGAAGUGGUCCUUAUUUGGGACAUCUAGCAAGACAGACCUGUCAGAAACACUUGAUGCCUUCUGAAGUUUUUCUUUUUCUUCUCAGAUGUUUCUAUACGCUAUAUUCCCUCACAUUCCAUUGGCUAAAGCUUGAAAUGUGGCCAGGCCCUAAAUCAAUGGGACAAUAAUGUAGUACCUCUUUAAGGAGGUCUCUAUAGGCCGCAUGUCAAUAAAUGAUUCAGGAUAAAGCCCUUACUAGAAAGAGAACAGAGCAAAAAUUGAGCGGCAAAAAUAAGAUCUACCGCUGGAAGGUGGUACUGAUCCCUCACACAAGUUAUGAAAAUGUGGUGGAUAAAUCAUUGAGAAACUAAUAUUCAGGAGAUAAAUCCACACUUUUUAAAGAGACAUGUAUCUGUCAUGAAUAAAAUCCAAAUGCUGACGAUGUCUUCAGGGUCCAAGAGGAUAGAGGAUUUAAGAAAAGAAUAAAUGUCAGGAAUACUUUUUUUCUGAAAAAGUCUAGAAAAUAAAAACAAAUGAAACAAUG